This 1089-nucleotide long non-coding RNA is filed under the name Canis lupus familiaris (dog). RNAcentral describes it as "lncRNA (ENSCAFG00030025683.1)". Lineage: Eukaryota; Metazoa; Chordata; Mammalia; Carnivora; Canidae. The record is from RNAcentral.
UCAGCACCAGCAUUCGCCAGCGGGAGCCCUCGGGGGGCAUCCCAAGCCCCCAGCCCCGGCCGCCCGCUGCGGGGGAGGGGCAGGAGGCUCACCCCAUUACUCACCGUUUCCUCCCGGUCUCCCGAGCGGAGUGGCCAAGCGGGGGGGGGGGGGGGGGGAAGGUGCGCGACGCCCCGCCGCCCGGCUGCUCAGCGGCCGCAGAGGCUCAUCGCCCCCGCGGGCUGCCCGCCGGCCGCAGCCGCGUCCGGGGCAUGUCAGUCGGCAGCCGCCGCCGCCCGCGGGGCUCCCGGGCUCGCAGCCCUCAGCGGGGGGGGCCUGGGGAGGACCGGGGAGAGCCCCCCCCGAGGACCCCCGCAGGAGCCCGGGCCGGAGCGGGGGCUCGGGACUGAGCCCGGGGAGGCCCGGAGUCCCGGGCACCGGCAGCGCGGGGGGGGGAUCCCUGCCGGGAGGGGCGGGCAGGCGGGCGGCCCGGCGCGCCCUGGCGGCUCGGAGGGACCCCGGCUCGCGGCCGCGUCGCCGGGGCUUUCCCGGGGCUGGGCGCGCGCUCCGGCUCUCCGCCCGGCACCCGUCACCGCGGAGGGGACGCGCCGAGGGGCUGGUUUCUGGGCGAGCCGCGAGCUUUGCCCAUUAAGCUGCAGCAAGAAGCCAAAUCAAAAAGCCAAUCUCCAAGCCUCCCAACCGAACGUCGCCCUAUCAGCUGGGAGCCAGGGAGCCGCGCCGAAUGACAAGCCGCGCAUAUUUAUCCUCGCGCGCCGAGGGGGGAUUUUCAGAUCGCGUCCCGAGCAGCCGCGGGGAAGUGGACCUGGCCUCGCGGCCCCGGGGCCCCGGGGCCCACGGCACCAGCCCGCCCGCCCGCCCGCCCUCGCCCGCGGCCACGCACCCGGUCGCCGGCGCCCCGCGGCGCUCCCGACUCGGCGGCCGGUCCUGACCUGGAUUCCGCGGAGCCCGGGGCUCCGGGCGGCGGGCGGCGGGCGGCGGGGCGGGGAGGGCGGCCAGGCGGGCGCGCGGCACCGGCUUUCCCCUUGUCCUCAGGAGACGCCGCCUGCAAUUCCGAAAUUAAGUCUCCACCAACACAUCUGUGGUUUUUAA